GGAGGGUGCAAGCGUUGUCCGGAAUCACUGGGUGUAAAGGGUGUGUAGGCGGGGCGGCAAGUCAGAGGUGAAAUCCUACAGCUCAACUGUAGAACUGCCUCUGAUACUGCUGUUCUUGAGUUUCGGAGAGGUCACUAGAAUUCGUGGUGUAGCGGUGAAAUGCGCAGAUAUCACGAGGAAUACCAGAGGCGUAGGCGGGUGACUGGACGAAUACUGACGCUGAGGCACGAAAGCGUGGGGAGCAAACAGGAUUAGAUACCCUGGUAGUCCCACGCCCGUAAACGAUGGAUGCUCGGUGUCGCGCCUUUUUUUGGCGCGUUGCCCAAGCUAACGCGUUAAGCAUCCCACCUGGGGAGUACGCUCGCAAGAGUG
Molecule: ribosomal RNA, 372 nt
Filed under: uncultured organism
Description: partial 16S ribosomal RNA
Rfam family: Bacterial small subunit ribosomal RNA
Source: RNAcentral